CCCGGGCCAGGCUGAGUCACGGGUUCGCCAAGACAGCCCACAGACUAAGCACAUUUCUUCUCUUUUCCGGUCCAUAAAAUCCCCAGAAUGGGCCCCACACAGAAACAUUGAGGAUGCCAUUGGAAUUAGUGUCAAAAGUGACUUCAAUCUGAGGAACACCUCGGGGUGCAGGAGAGAGCCCCACCUGGAAGACUCUAGGUUCUCAUCUUCAUGCCCCGAUGUAAGGAGAGUGGUCCUUCUGUACAUCAGGAGUCUGAAAUGCAUCUCACUGGGCUAAAAUCAAGAUCUGUGGCACAUGGAACCACAUGUGGGACAAGAGACUAAUAAAGAUGUGACCUACUCACAGAGGCUUCAGGUGUUUUGCGAAGUACAUUGGCUUUUAUUCAACGUGCAGUGGGACUCCAACUAAAGUGUUUCAGGAAGGCACGGCCCUUUUGUGAUCUCCUGGUUCUUGUAAAUCUCACUGUGGCUGAUGAGGUCUGGAUAGAUAAUCAUGAUGGUGGCUGAAGAGAGACAAUGGUGGUGCUAGGUUACCAGUGGCGUGGAGCUCAGAGCUAAUGCAGAGCAGCUGGAGCAGUGCUGAGUUUCAAAACGUGUUGGAAAAAAUAUUAUAUGAAUGAUGCUAUUUUUUUCACUGAAUCACAUCAAGAAGCACAUGAUGUUAAGCUGUCUCAUCAUUGGUGGUGUUAACUUGGAUCGCUUGAUUAAGGAUUUGUACCAUUUUGCUUUCCCAUUAGCAAUGUGUAGGAAUGCCUGUUUCCCUGUAGCCUCCCCAACAGCUUGUGUUAUCAAGAUUUUGGAUAUUUAACAAACUUGAAGGUGAGAAAUUACAUUUAUUAAUUUGUAUCUUAUUUUUAGUAAUGUUUAAUAAUUUAUAUGCUUCAGAUUAUUUUAUAUCUAUCUGAGAUUUAUCUAUUUAAUAUAUCUGAGAUUUAUCUAUUAAUGAUUCUUGCCCCAUUUUCCAUCAAUUUUUGGUCUUAAUUUAUUUUUCUUUUCAUAAUGUGAUUUUCCUUGAUUAUGUAUUACAAAUGUAUUCUAGUUUGUCUUUUUACUGACACUGCUUACAGUUGGCAUUGCUAUUAUUUUUGCUUUGGAAAGGUUUGCUAAAUGAAUUCAUUUUUAUUUUAGAGGAGUUAAAAUUUUCAGUGUUUUCUUUUAUUGUGUUGCAAUUUUGGAUCAUUAUUACAAAACAUUGUUUUUUAGAGCCAGAUUACAAAUUACCCCACAUUUUCUUCUAAUGCAUGUGAUGGCAGCAGCGGCCAAAUAGAGUAGCUGCUGCAAAGGUGCUAGCUGCAGUGGGGUAUGCAUGACUGGGACGGCUAACUCCGCGGAGCUGGCAGGAGCUGGGAACAGGCGGGAGCUCCACCCCCUUCCAAGUGGGUGGGGCAUGAGCUUUGUGCUUCUGGGUGCAACUGCAGCUGCCCAGCCACGACUGCGGACCCAGGCAUCCCUGUGGUCUUGGGGGCCCAGGAAGUCUCCCUGCCCCCGCAGGCUCAGAAGGGCCUCCUCCUGCUGCCUGGCCUCUCUCCACUCCCAGCAUCCACUCUGAUUUUGGAGGAAAGUUGUGGCCGAGCUCGGGCUCUGUCACGACCCGGCUGGGUGUGCGCACACUCAAGGCAGCACUGACAUGCCAGCCCCUUGCCGCCUCGGCCCCACUCCGUAAUUGGGACACUGACAAACAUGGGAGGGAGGUCAAGAGGGGGCUGAGGGCGGCUUUGUGUGAGCCUGCAGGCACCCCUUGGCACGAACAGCCUGGGCACCAUGAAUGGCAGCAGUAGGCAGACAGGCUCCUGGGCAGAAAGGGGCACGUCCCUGGUGAAACCCCACCUUCAAGCCAGGGAGGGCCUGAAGCCUGGGGGCUGGGCUGCCAGUUGCACAGACCAGAGUGAGAACUUAUGGUGCUUUUUCUGGGCCCGCCCAUGGCCACCCGUAGACCAAUCAGCACACUCUUCCUCCCCUGUGAAACCCAUAAAAACCCUCAGAGUCACCCAGAAUUGGACAGAUGACAAGACAACCGGACUGCAGGGAGGAGCUACCCAUUCAAGGUCUCCUCUCCAAUGAGGGUUGCAGAGAUGUUGGGGCAAUUUGCCUGCAGAUAGGAGCUACCCACUUGGGAUCUCCUCUCUGCCGAGGACUACACACUUGAUGGGAUGACCUGCUUGUGGAGAAGAGCUACCCACUGUGGGUCUCCUCUCAGCUGAGGGUUGCACAGAUGCCCAGACCACAUGCCUGUGGAAAGGGGAUACCCACUUUGGGUCUCCUGAGAGCUGUACUGCCACUCAAUAAAGCACUGCUUCACCUUGCUCACCCUCCAGUUGUCUGCAUACCUCAUUUUUCCUGGAUAUGGGACAAGAACUUGGGACCAGACAGACAAAUGGCAGGACUAAAAGAGCUGUAACACAAACAGGGCUGUAACCCCCACCCCAACACCACUGGCCACAUUGUGGGUGACGAGAAGGAAAGAAGUAGAGAAGAGCUGCAGUUCUUUGGGGAUUGCAAACCUAGGAGCUCCCUGAGCCAGGGCUGUGAAACCUUCUUUAGGGCUCUGCAUUUCCGGGCAUCAUCUCCAAGCUUCCAGGUGCCACCGCAUUCCCUGGUUCCUGAGGCAGAAGCUACUUGUGAUACACUUGGUCUAGCUACAGCCUUGCAGGGAGCCGGAGCCUGUGCCAGUGCCUGGAGCUGCCCACCCCACCACAGCCAGCGUGCCUGGCCGUGCGCGGUGGCCGGACCCCACUUUUGCUUCUUCACACACCCCUCACCACUCUGCGCUUGGCCCAACCUUGGCAGGCAUGGGAUCCGGGUGGUAGCGAAAGCCGAGUGCAGCCUGUCAGGCCCACUGGGUGGAACAGGCUCAGCAGGCCCAAGCAAAACUUGGGCAAAGGUGCCACUGGCCAUAGAGGUUGCUGGCUGGUGAAGCAACACCCUAAGGAACCUGGGAAACAUGUAUGGCUACAUUUAUAUUUUACACUCAGAAUUCUAAUUCAUUUGGAUUUUUUUUUUUUUCUGUGUAGAGGGAAAAGUGUGAAUCCAUUUUUAUCAUUAUCUAAAUGACUGUUCAGUUGUUCCAACAUGCUUUGAUAAAAUGUCCAUAUUUGUCUCUGUGAUUUGAAAUGACUACCUUUAUCGUGUAGUAAAUUUUACUAUGUUCUUGGCUGUUGUAUUUUCUAUUAUAUUCCACUGGUCUGUUAUUUCUUUACCAGUAUAAAUAACAUGGAUUCAAUUGCAGAAACUUUAUAGUAUGUUUUAAAAUCUGGUGGCACUAUUCCUUUCCUGUUGCUCUUAUUUUUAUGGGUUGUCCUACGUGUUCAUGCAUAUUAUUUUUCACAUGAACAACUCCACAAUAGUUGGAGAAAAAAAAUCUUCCUGGUAUUUUAUUAGAGUUGCAUUAAAUUUAUGCAUAAACUAAGAGAUAAGAGAGACAUAACAUCUUGUUGACAUUGACACAUCAUAAUCAAGAACAAGCAAUGUCAUUUCAUUUUUGCACAUCUUCCUUUUUGUCUUCCAGGAGAUGCUAAUCAUUUUCCUUAUAUAGUUUUUAAAUCGUCUUCCCUUAGUAUUACGUAGAUUGUCAUUAUUUUAAAGGCUAAUUCUGACAGCUUCAUUAUUUGGCAUCUUUGUAUUGUGCAUAUUUUUUCUUGAUUUUAGAUCAUUUGAUCUUGAGUCCUAGUGUGUUGGUUA
RNAcentral lists this long non-coding RNA (3678 nucleotides) under Homo sapiens (human). Its description in RNAcentral is "HSALNT0285961". Lineage: Eukaryota; Metazoa; Chordata; Mammalia; Primates; Hominidae. The record is from RNAcentral.